Long non-coding RNA from Ruditapes philippinarum (Manila clam), 464 nucleotides. RefSeq lists it as uncharacterized. The record is from RefSeq and is a predicted model, not a curated record. The transcript has 4 exons. NCBI's taxonomy places the organism in Eukaryota, Metazoa, Mollusca, Bivalvia, Venerida, Veneridae.
GAUUUUGUUUGUUGGUCUAUGAUUAUCGUUCGUGCAAAUGGUGGCGCUGUUUGGAAAAUUUGAAAACAUCACGAUUGGCAAUUUAUUUGGAUUUCGAAAAUCCUGGUCUUGGCUGAAAUUUAGAGUAUUGCAGCUGUAGCCUGUACACCAUACAUUCAACAUGAAAAGGACUGUCAGGAUGCUGCAUAAAAUAGUCUUAGCUAGAGCCUAGAAUGUUAAUUUCUUGGGAAUAUGCUGCAAGGAACUGACGGGGAGCAGUUUUUCUUACCAAUCAUAGAAGCAGAAAGAGACAGCCAAAGAAGUACUAAAACACUUGACAUACCCAGAAAUAUCUAGAAGAAAAGAUUGGAACAGAUUGUAGCUUAAUUGUUAAAACUAUUAAAGUGAAUUUAAGCUGCACGUGAACUGUAUUUUUGAAAUAAAAUAUCUGAAGUAUUUAAUAUUGUCUUGAUAUUUUGUUAAAC